Molecule: ribosomal RNA, 301 nt
Filed under: uncultured bacterium
Lineage: Bacteria
Description: partial 16S ribosomal RNA
Rfam family: Bacterial small subunit ribosomal RNA
Source: RNAcentral
CAGCAGCCACGGGAAUACGUAGGUGGCAAGCGUUAUCCGGAAUUAUUGGGCGUAAAGCGCGCGUAGGCGGUUUUUUAAGUCUGAUGUGAAAGCCCACGGCUCAACCGUGGAGGGUCAUUGGAAACUGGAAAACUUGAGUGCAGAAGAGGAAAGUGGAAUUCCAUGUGUAGCGGUGAAAUGCGCAGAGAUAUGGAGGAACACCAGUGGCGAAGGCGACUUUCUGGUCUGUAACUGACGCUGAUGUGCGAAAGCGUGGGGAUCAAACAGGAUUAGAUACCCCGGUAGUCCCUGUCUCUUAUAC